Molecule: long non-coding RNA, 2427 nt
Filed under: Sus scrofa (pig)
Lineage: Eukaryota; Metazoa; Chordata; Mammalia; Artiodactyla; Suidae
Description: lncRNA (ENSSSCG00005018138.1)
Source: RNAcentral
CUCAUUUGCUUUUUUCAUAUUGGACUUCUUCUUCAAAAGGAAAUCCACUUUCUCGAAGACCAUGAAAAUACAUAUAUCUGCCCUAAAGCAGAAAAAUGUAGUAUUAACUUCUGAUGUGGAUAUGCCCUAAAUCUGUCAUAAAUUUAACACAAUUAAGUUAUAUGGAUAAAUUAAAUGCAUAUGUAGUAAGUCCUUGAUUUUAAAAAAGUUUCCUUCAGUGUAAUUAUAAAUCACGCAAUUCUCCACCAACCAGAGAAUUAUUAACUACCCUACAUUUGUAUAAUGUUUUGAUUUUUUUUUUCAUUUUUAGGACCACACCUGUGGCAUAUGCGAGUUUCCAGGCUAGGGGCUGAAUUGGAGCUGCAGCUGCUGGUUUAUGCCACAGCAACAGCAACCCUGGAUCAGAGUGGCAUCUGCAACCUCCACCUGCGCUGGAUCCUUAACCAACUGAGCAAGGCCAGGGGUCAAACCCAUGUCUUCAUAGAUACUAGUCGGGUUCUUUACUGCUGAGCCACGAUGGGAACUCCUCAGUUUUGAAAUAUUUCAUGCAUUCCAAUAUACCUUUUCAAAAAAACUGUGAGUUAAGUUGGGCAGGUAUUAAUACCCCCAAGGAGUUAAAGAAAGUUCAUUGGACUUAAGCGUUUUAAGAGUAAAGCUGCAGUCCAGGUGUUCACUGACCUUAUGAACCCAACCAAGGGUGUAUGGAGCCUGAAGCAAAAGCAUGAUGGCUCCUGGUUUUCACCCCUACCUAUGCUCAACACUGUUAGACCAAUUCGGCUAAGGUAAUUUCAAAGAAAACUGAGGAAGAAAUGAAGCUGCAAAGUACAGUGUAGCCUCAAAUUCUCUUCCUGCUCUUCAUGAUUUAUUAAAUGGUUACUUCCUUCAAAACCACUUGACCUACUCCAACACCAUCCAUUAAGACUUACCUAGACUUUUCCACCAAGUGACUGAUUCUUAAACUCAAGCAACACAAUUAUCAUUUGGCAGAGCGUUUUGUUCCCUUUGCUCAUUUUUAAUUUUAGUCUUACGAUUUACUCCUAGUCUUUUAGUGAUCUCAAUCAACACGUUUCAGGAUCUUCGUUUUCUCCCAGUUUCCCUCAUUUCCUUUUCUAUCAGACCUAGAAUGCAGGAUGAUUCUAUUAACUGACUCUUACCAGUUCCUUCUUCUCCCAGGACUAUUUGUUCUUCCAAAAGAACUUAUAAAAAUCAUAUAUAGGGAAUUCCCAUGGUGGCACAGCGGAAACGAAUCUGACUGGUAUUGAUGAGGAUACAGGUUCAAUCCCUGGCCUCGCUUAGGGGGUCAGAGAUUCCGCAUUGCCGUGAGCUGUGGUGUAAGUUGAAGACAUGGCUGAGAUCCCAUGUUGCUGUAGCUGUGGGGCAGGCUGGUAGCUGUAGCUUCGAUUGGACCCCUAGCCUGGAACUUCUAUAUGCCAUGGGUAUGGCCCUAAAAAGCAAAAAGCAAAAAAAAAAUCAUAUAUCAAUAUUUCAGGUUUCUAGAACAAACAUCCAGAACUAAUACUACUGCCAACAAUUUUCACAUUCAAUUUCUGGCACUCAGUGAGAAAUAAGCAGACAUCCAAAGAAAUAAUAAAUAACCAAAAACAAAGGGGGGAAAACUUAUACUAGAAAAAGACCCACAAGAGACCCACAUAAAAGAAUAACCAGAAACGGAUUUUAAAACAACUAAAUUAAAUGACAAUUUGAGAACUUUAACAGAAAACUGAAAACUUUAAUAGAGAAUCAUAUGAUCAUCCGAUUAAAGUGUAGUUUAAUUAAAUUAAGAAACUCAAGAGUGUGCUGGAGAGCAGAUUGGACACACACACAAAAAAAUAGUGAAGCGGAAAAAAAGCCAGAAGAAAACACCACUGUUAAGCAUAAAAUGACAGAAGACUAGGAAAUUAAAAACAGGAAAAAAUACAAAUGACAUAAUAUAGCAUAGAGUAUAAGAUCUAAAUAUAUAUAAUAGGAAUCUUAGAAAAAGAGGAAAUGAGAAUGGGGCAGAAGAGAAAAUGGUACAUGAUUGAGAACUUUUUUGUUGUUGUUGUUGUUGUUGCUAUUUCUUGGGCCGCUCCCGCGGCACAUGGAGGUUCCCAGGCUAGGGGUCGAAUCGGAGCUGUAGCCACCGGCCUACACCAGAGCCACAGCAACGCAGGAUCCGAGCCGCGUCUGCAACCUACACCACAGCUCAUGGCAACGCCGGAUCGCCAACCCACUGAGCAAGGGCAGGGAUCGAACCCGCAACCUCAUGUAGGUUAAGGAUCUGGCAUUGCCGUGAGCUGUGGUGUAGGUCAAAGACACAGCUCGGAUCCUGCGUUGCUAUGACUGUGGUGUAGACCAGCAGUUGUAGGUCCGAUUCGACCCCUAGCCAGGGGAACCUCCACAAGCCAUGAGUGCAGCCCUAAAAAGAAAAAGAAAAAAAAAAAAAAA